CCUACGGGAGGCAGCAGUGGGGAAUAUUGGGCAAUGGAGGCAACUCUGACCCAGCAACGCCGCGUGAAUGAUGAAGGUCUUCGGAUUGUAAAGUUCUUUUCUACGGGAAGAAGAAAGUGACGGUACCUUAGGAAUAAGCCUCGGCUAACUACGUGCCAGCAGCCGCGGUAAUACGUAGGAGGCAAGCGUUAUCCGGAAUGACUGGGCGUAAAGGGUGCGUAGGUGGUUCAGCAAGUUAGUAGCGUAACUCCGGGGCUCAACCUCGGUACUACUACUAAAACUGUUGGACUUGAGUGCAGGAGAGGCAACUGGAAUGCCUGGUGUAGCGGUGGAAUGCGUAGAUAUUAGGAAGAACACCAGUGGCGAAGGCGGGUUGCUGGACUGUAACUGACGCUGAGGCACGAAAGCGUGGGGAGCGAACAGGAUUAGAUACCCUAGUAGUC
Molecule: ribosomal RNA, 443 nt
Filed under: uncultured bacterium
Lineage: Bacteria
Description: partial 16S ribosomal RNA
Rfam family: Bacterial small subunit ribosomal RNA
Source: RNAcentral